GAUGACGCUGGCGGCGUGCCUAAUACAUGCAAGUCGAGCGAACAGACGAGGAGCUUGCUCCUCUGACGUUAGCGGCGGACGGGUGAGUAACACGUGGAUAACCUACCUAUAAGACUGGGAUAACUUCGGGAAACCGGAGCUAAUACCGGAUAAUAUAUUGAACCGCAUGGUUCAAUAGUGAAAGACGGUUUUGCUGUCACUUAUAGAUGGAUCCGCGCCGCAUUAGCUAGUUGGUAAGGUAACGGCUUACCAAGGCAACGAUGCGUAGCCGACCUGAGAGGGUGAUCGGCCACACUGGAACUGAGACACGGUCCAGACUCCUACGGGAGGCAGCAGUAGGGAAUCUUCCGCAAUGGGCGAAAGCUUGACGGAGCAACGCCGCGUGAGUGAUGAAGGUCUUCGGAUCGUAAAACUCUGUUAUUAGGGAAGAACAAAUGUGUAAGUAACUAUGCACGUCUUGACGGUACCUAAUCAGAAAGCCACGGCUAACUACGUG
RNAcentral lists this ribosomal RNA (496 nucleotides) under uncultured bacterium. RNAcentral describes it as "partial 16S ribosomal RNA". It matches the Rfam family "Bacterial small subunit ribosomal RNA", at positions 32 to 507 of the family's 1533-position model. The record is from RNAcentral.